This 172-nucleotide non-coding RNA is filed under the name Firmicutes bacterium CAG:94. Its description in RNAcentral is "Lysine riboswitch aptamer". It matches the Rfam family "Lysine riboswitch aptamer". From Rfam's summary of the family: Riboswitches are metabolite binding domains within certain messenger RNAs that serve as precision sensors for their corresponding targets. Allosteric rearrangement of mRNA structure is mediated by ligand binding, and this results in modulation of gene expression. This family includes riboswitches that sense lysine in a number of genes involved in lysine metabolism, including lysC. RNAcentral also lists the same sequence under 1 other name. Lineage: Bacteria; Bacillati; Bacillota. The record is from Rfam by way of RNAcentral.
AAACCAAAUAGAGGCGCGGCUUUCAAAAGUAGCGGGAUGGAGGUUGCCGGAACUGAUGAAAUCUUGUGAAAGGGUGGGCUGCCGAAGGAGGAUGCCUGGCAGGUAUCUUCCUGGUUGCAACAGCAAACAGCUUUGCGACUGUCAUCACUUGUGAUGGAGUGCUAUUGAGACA